CAGAUUAGGGUUUCGUUAAAAAGCUCUCCCUCUCUCCUCUCUUUCUUCUUGCUCGAAUUCUUCGAAUCUGGACUAAUUGAUUUCGAUCUCAAUCCUAGCUAUGGCCGAUCGCAGUGUUCUGCAUGAUAUCAAUUUAUAAACUCACAAGGUAAAUCAUAGCAUUUUUCUCUUUCAUCGUCCUCAAUCUUCAUUUGCCUCCAUUUUUAUUUCCAAAACCGUAAUUGUUGAUUCUUAUCAACUCAUUUUAUCAACUCACGAGGUUUCGGAGGUGGUUUCCGUCGGAGAGAUUAAUCUGAUGGUGAUUAGGCUUCCCUCUCUUCGAAAUCGUCGCCGCCGUCACGAAUGAAGGAAAAAAUCUGCAGUUUGACGGAGUUGUGAAUGAAGGAAAUCGAGGGAAGAGUAUAUGGGAUAGUUUCUCCAGACUCCCAGGGAGGAUAUUGGAUUUUAGCGAUGCGGAUGUAGCUGUUGAUCAAUACCAUAGAUUCAAGAUUAGAAGGGAGAGUGCUCAUGGAGAAAGUGUAUGUUGCAACAAUGUCAGAGCGCUCUUUGAUGAGCUCCCAAUGCCACAUAUCAUUGUUGAAUCACACUCUUUCCUGCUGGACCUCUGGACCUCUGGACCUCUUACAGAAUGGGAUUAUGCCAAAGCUGAGAAAGUACAGAAGGUGCUCAGAUAUAACUUUGUAAAUAAUUGGCAACUAACUUUGUAAAUAAUCAAGAGUUUGCAUUUUCAUCUUGAACUUUGUAAAUAUUCAGAACUGGAUCAUAAGACUGUUGACUCUUUAAUAUUUCCAACAUAUAAUUUUAGUUUAU
This is a long non-coding RNA of Spinacia oleracea (spinach), 810 nucleotides long. RefSeq lists it as uncharacterized. The transcript is spliced from 3 exons. Lineage: Eukaryota; Viridiplantae; Streptophyta; Magnoliopsida; Caryophyllales; Amaranthaceae. The record is from RefSeq and is a predicted model, not a curated record.